Molecule: long non-coding RNA, 1471 nt
Filed under: Sinocyclocheilus anshuiensis
Lineage: Eukaryota; Metazoa; Chordata; Actinopteri; Cypriniformes; Cyprinidae
Description: lncRNA (ENSSANG00000017119.1)
Source: RNAcentral
GAAAUGUAUAAAAGUAAUCAAAAAGUAAUCAAAAGUAAUCAGUUACAUUACUUUAAUAAAGUAAUUGAAAAAGUUACACUACUAUUACAUUUUAAAUAGGGUAACUUGUAAUCUGUAACCUAUUACAUUUCCAAAGUAACCUUCCCAACACUGUUUAUAACCCAUUAUGUAAUAAGUAAAUGCAAUGCUGGUAGGAGGAAUGAAGAAAAAAAUUCCCAAAACAAUGCUCGGAUGUGAUGAAAUAAUCCUCUUGACCCCCCUGAUAUUUCAGGUAUUUCAUCAGUAAUACCUAAGUAAACGUAAAACUACAAGUUGGUGCCUGCAGUCACACUGUAUAAAGUUCUUGUCACUCCUCCCCUACAACCUACAUCUCAGCUCCCAUUUGCUGGCUACUUUCAUCGGCACAUAAAAGACUGAACCAGAGUACAGUAUUACAUACGUUGCUGCAGAUCACAAGGCAAAGGAAAUUACAAUCAAAAUCCAAUAAACCGAAGAAUGGAUCCCAGCCAGUUUUCCAAUCAGCCUCCAGACGCCUACAAUUCAUCUGAGAAAUCAGGGUUGCCUGCAGCAGCACCACCAGCAUACCAGCAUAAUCCUGCUGGAUAUCCUCCUUCCUUUCCAAACCAGCCGAUCCCCCAGGGCCCCUACACCCAGGGGCCAUAUCCAGGACAGCCUGUGGUCACUGUGCAGCCUGCAGUUUUUGUGACCGCCGCUCCACUGGCUGAUCCAGUGCCAGAUUACCUGGGUUACUCCAUCUUUACCAUGCUGUGCUGCUGCUUACCUCUGGGCAUUGCUGCACUGAUUUACUCCAUCUCUACACGAGAUGCCAACUACUCAGGACAGCGAGAAUUAGCAGAGAAGAACUCCAAAAUGGCACGCACCCUGAAUCACAUCGGCCUUGGUAUUGGCCUCGUUGUCAUUGUAUUGAUCAUUAUCAUCCAGAUUGUGAUUUGGUCUACUAGAUAAAAGCUGUUAGAGCUGACAUGGUUGGAUGCAGAUUACAAACAGAUUUGUUUUUCUGUAUUUUAAAUGUUACUUGCUCAAUCUAUCAUUACUCUAAUAUGCAUUAAGGCUGAUUGUUGUAUGUUUAAACCAAUGAAAGCAACCACACAGUUUUCUGUUGUCUUUACUUCUGUAAUGUUUUGUUCAGAUGUUUUGCUUAUGUUACAUAUCUUAUGUGCAGCUGUGCUAAUUUUAUAUAUAUAUAAAUAAAACAUAGCAUAUAUAUGUAUUUAGGUACACAUGUACACAAAUCUGUAUGUCUUUCUAUCUAUCUUUUUUGUUGUUGUUGUUGUUAUUUACCACCACAUUUAUCAUGCAGGAAGUGGUACGUCUGGCUUUUAAUAUGAGAGGAUUGUACAACCCACAUACAUACAGUAUGUGUGUAAUGUGUCUUCAAGAUUGAAUAUCGUUAAAGAAACACCCAAACAAUAUACCAAUGUGAGGAUAAAUUAAUAAACAAAUAAAUGAC